GAGGGUGUUAAGGUUGAGAGGAGUGAUGAAAUUUGCAUUAGGUAGUAUUAUUUUGUCAGGAGUCUGAUAUAUAGAUUAUUGUAAAGGAAUUAAAUACAUAGAGGCCCAGUUUUUAAAAAAUUAAUUACGUUUCCAAACUUCCAUUACAAGCAAGGUCUUGGGGAUUUGUCAUUAAUGAUAGACUCUACAUUUUAUAUGCUUUUUAAGAAAGGGCUCAGUGUCGAUCCAGGGUCCCAGUGCCCAGUCAUUUCACUUUUGUCACUUCUAGGCUGCUGUGCUUGCCCAUGGUGAGGGCACUGAUGCACUUGUGUC
Molecule: long non-coding RNA, 312 nt
Filed under: Bos taurus (domestic cattle)
Lineage: Eukaryota; Metazoa; Chordata; Mammalia; Artiodactyla; Bovidae
Description: long non-coding RNA NONBTAT002952
Source: RNAcentral